AACAGCACCCAUACCAAAUGCACCGCCAACAUCAUCAAGUAUACGGUCAGGGCAAGGUUCACGAGAGGUCUCUGGUGUUCCCAUUGUUAAUGGGGACGAUCACUAACCGGGAGGAAAAAGUUUAAAGGGGAUGACACCAACCACGCACACUUGCUAUUACUUUCCAAGUAAGUGAUUGGUUUGAUAGAAUUCAAAUAUUUCACCUGCAUCAAGGGGAUGAUCACUAAGGAAAAAGGUUAAAGGGGAUGACACUGACCAAGCAAACUUGUUUUCACUUUCCAAACAAGUGAUUUGUCUGAUAUAACAACAUUAGAAUGCAAAGAUUUCACCUGCACCAAAACAGUUCUCAUCAAUCCGUGCCAUCCAUUUGAG
RNAcentral lists this long non-coding RNA (372 nucleotides) under Nicotiana benthamiana. RNAcentral's name for it is "long non-coding RNA (NBEN_LNC017437)". The record is from RNAcentral. Lineage: Eukaryota; Viridiplantae; Streptophyta; Magnoliopsida; Solanales; Solanaceae.